GAUGAACGCUAGCGGCGGGCCUAAUACAUGCAAGUCGAACGGUGACGAGGAGCUUGCUCCUCCGAUCAGUGGCGAACGGGUGAGUAACACGUGAGCAACCUGCCCCAGACUCUGGGAUAACAGUUGGAAACAGCUGCUAAUACCGGAUACGAGACGGAGAGGCAUCUCUACCGUCUGGAAAGUUUUUCGGUCUGGGAUGGACUCGCGGCCUAUCAGCUAGUUGGUGAGGUAAUGGCUCACCAAGGCGACGACGGGUAGCCGGCCUGAGAGGGUGACCGGCCCGAGGGGCACUGAGAUACGGGUCCCACUCCUACGGGAGGCAGCAGGCUAGAAAUUUGGGCAAUGGGGGAAACCCUGACCCAGUGACGCCGCGUGCAGGAAGGAGCCCUUCGGGGUGUAAACUGCUGUCGUGUAGGGAGAAGGGUACUAAGGUGAACAAAUCUUAGUAACUUGACGGUACUACAGGAGGAAGCCCAGGCUAACCUCGUGCCAGCAGCCGCGGUAAAGCUACGUAGACG
Molecule: ribosomal RNA, 518 nt
Filed under: uncultured bacterium
Lineage: Bacteria
Description: bacterial SSU rRNA
Rfam family: Bacterial small subunit ribosomal RNA
Source: RNAcentral